GAUGAAGAACGUAGCGAAAUGCGAUAAGUAAUGUGAAUUGCAGAAUUCAGUGAAUCAUCGAGUCUUUGAACGCACAUUGCGCCCCCUGGUAUUCCGGGGGGCAUGCCUGUCCGAGCGUCAUUGCUGCCCUCAAGCACGGCUUGUGUGUUGGGCUCCGCCCCCUCCCGGGGGGCGGGCCCGAAAGGCAGCGGCGGCACCGCGUCCGGUCCUCGAGCGUAUGGGGCUUUGUCACCCGCUCUGUAGGCCCGGCCGGCGCCCGCCGGCGACCCCAAUCAAUCUUUCCAGGUUGACCUCGGAUCAGGUAGGGAUACCCGCUGAACUUAAGCAUAUCAAUAAGCGGAGGA
RNAcentral lists this unclassified non-coding RNA (344 nucleotides) under soil metagenome. Its description in RNAcentral is "partial contains 5.8S ribosomal RNA, internal transcribed spacer 2, and large subunit ribosomal RNA". The stretch from base 1 to 120 matches the Rfam family "5.8S ribosomal RNA", at positions 35 to 154 of the family's 154-position model. The record is from RNAcentral.